GAUGAACGCUAGCGAUAGGCUUAACACAUGCAAGUCGAGGGGCAGCAUGGUCUUAGCUUGCUAAGGCUGAUGGCGACCGGCGCACGGGUGCGUAACGCGUAUGCAACUUGCCUCACAGAGGGGGAUAACCCGUCGAAAGACGGACUAAUACCGCGUACACUCUAUGUUGGGCAUCCAAUGUAGAGGAAAUGAAAUUCGCUGUGAGAUAGGCAUGCGUCCCAUUAGCUAGUUGGUGAGGUAACGGCUCACCAAGGCGACGAUGGGUAGGGGAACUGAGAGGUUGAACCCCCACACUGGUACUGAGACACGGACCAGACUCCUACGGGAGGCAGCAGUGAGGAAUAUUGGUCAAUGGGCGAGAGCCUGAACCAGCCAAGUCGCGUGAAGGAUGACUGUCUUAUGGAUGGUAAACUUCUUUUAUACGGGAAUAACAAGAGUCACGUGUGGCUCCCUGCAGGUACCGUAUGAAUAAGCAUCGGCUAACUCCGUG
RNAcentral lists this ribosomal RNA (490 nucleotides) under uncultured bacterium. RNAcentral describes it as "partial 16S ribosomal RNA". It matches the Rfam family "Bacterial small subunit ribosomal RNA", at positions 28 to 507 of the family's 1533-position model. The record is from RNAcentral.